Molecule: ribosomal RNA, 465 nt
Filed under: uncultured bacterium
Lineage: Bacteria
Description: partial 16S ribosomal RNA
Rfam family: Bacterial small subunit ribosomal RNA
Source: RNAcentral
GAUGAACGCUGGCGGCGUGCUUAACACAUGCAAGUCGUACGGUAAGACGCUUUCGGGGGUACACGAGUGGCGAACGGGGGCGUAACAGGAGAGUAACCUUCCCACAACUUUGGGAUAACGCUAGGAAACUGGAGCCAAUACUGGAAAUGUGCACUUGCUGCAUGGUGGGGGUUGGAAAGCUCCGGCGGUUGUGGAUGGACUCGCGGCCUAUCAGCUUGCUGGUGGGGUAGUGGCCUACCAAGGCGGCGACGGGUAGCCGGCCUGUGGGGGUGACCGGCCACACUGGCACUGAGGUGCGGCCCAGACUCCGACUGGUGGCAGCAGUGCGGAAUAUUGCACAAUGGGCGCCGGCCUGAUGCAGCAGCGCCUCGUGCGGGAUGACGGCCUUCGUGUUGUAGACCGCUUUCAGCAGGGACGAUGCUUUUUUUGACGGUACCUGCAGAAGAAGCACCGGCUAACUACGUG